RNAcentral lists this ribosomal RNA (400 nucleotides) under uncultured bacterium. Its description in RNAcentral is "bacterial SSU rRNA". It matches the Rfam family "Bacterial small subunit ribosomal RNA", at positions 962 to 1369 of the family's 1533-position model. The record is from RNAcentral.
GCCAGAACCUUACCAGGAUUUGACAUGGGAGGACCGGUACAGAGAUUUGCUUUCCGCCAGGACCUUCCGCACAGGUGUGCAUGGCUGUCGUCAGCUCGGUCGUGAAUGUUGGGUUAAGUCCCGCAACGAGCGCAACCCUCGCCUUUAGUUGCCAUCAUUUAGUUGGGCACUCUAGAGGAACUGCCGGUGACAAGCCGGAGGAAGGUGGGGAUGACGUCAAGUCCUCAUGGCCCUUAUGUCCUGGGCUACACACGUGCUACAAUGGUGGUGACAGUGGGAAGCUAGGCGGUGACGCCGUGCUGAUCUCUAAAAGCCAUCUCAGUUCGGAUUGUACUCUGCAACUCGAGUACAUGAAGGUGGAAUCGCUAGUAAUCGUGGAUCAGCAUGCCACGGUGAAUAC